This 481-nucleotide ribosomal RNA is filed under the name uncultured Sphingobacteriales bacterium. RNAcentral describes it as "bacterial SSU rRNA". It matches the Rfam family "Bacterial small subunit ribosomal RNA", at positions 28 to 505 of the family's 1533-position model. Lineage: Bacteria; Pseudomonadati; Bacteroidota; Sphingobacteriia; Sphingobacteriales. The record is from RNAcentral.
GAUGAACGCUAGCGGCAGGCCUAAUACAUGCAAGUCGAGGGAGAAACUGAACUUCGGUUCAGCGGAAACCGGCGAACGGGUGCGUAACACGUAUGCAACCUACCCACAACUGAGGGAUAGCCCGAAGAAAUUUGGAUUAAUACCUUAUAAUAUGUACUCAUCGCAUGAUGAGAAUCUUAAAGCUCCGGCGGUUGUGGAUGGGCAUGCGGCCUAUUAGUUUGUUGGUGAGGUAACGGCUCACCAAGACUACGAUAGGUAGGGGGUCUGAGAGGAUGAUCCCCCACACUGGUACUGAGACACGGACCAGACUCCUACGGGAGGCAGCAGUAGGGAAUAUUGGACAAUGGGCGAAAGCCUGAUCCAGCCAUGCCGCGUGCAGGAAGACGGCCCUAUGGGUUGUAAACUGCUUUUAUAUAGGAAGAAACCCCUGAUCGUGCAUCAGGGCUGACGGUACUAUAAGAAUAAGGACCGGCUAACUCCG